This is a small nucleolar RNA of Nannospalax galili (Upper Galilee mountains blind mole rat), 136 nucleotides long. Lineage: Eukaryota; Metazoa; Chordata; Mammalia; Rodentia; Spalacidae. The record is from Ensembl.
CGCACUGCAUGGUAUCUGCACUCAGCAGCUCCCUCCUGCUGGUGUGUUCAAAGAACAGUGCGAUAGAAAUUCACUGGCAUCACUGUUUUUCUUGGAUUUAGUACCUAUUAAACCUGGUAUUUCUAUUGAUGCAGUU